GCGGCGGGAGAAGGAAGGCACCCGGCGCUGGAGCAGAGCGGCGAAGGGAAGGGGCAGGGACCCAGCGGCCGGGGCGCGGGUUUAUUGGCCGGCGCAGACACGCGUGGCCCGGGCAGGGCUGAGACACGCACCGGACCCGGGCAGCGGGCGCCCGGCGCUCACAUGAUGAGCUGCGCGGCGGGGGCCGGGCCGAGUUUCGGCGCUGGGAGCCCGGCAGAACUUUCCUCCCGCGGUCGCCGCGUCCCGGCCGGCCUGGCCCUGGGAGCCGCUUCGCUCCGCAGCCCGCUGGCGGCUUUUGCUUUGCCGGCCCCUGCUCCCCUCCCUCCGCUCGCUCUUCUCCCAUUUCUUCGUCAGCUGCCUCCCCCUGGGCCGGGCCCCCUUCCCCUGGGCUCUCCCUCCAGCCUUCCAUUCCCCUGCUGCUGACCUCUCCUUCCUUCUUUCCCUCCCCCAGAUCCUUCCCCCCCAGACACACACAUCCCCUUUCCCGUCCCCACCCACCCCCAUGCCCCACUCCACCAUGCUGACGGGGACCAUGCCCCCAACGGAGGUGUACUUCUCUGAGCGGGUCAUCGUGCUGGUCUCCUGUGUCCUCUCCUUCCUGGGCUCCAGCCUCCUGGUCUUCACCCAUGCCCUUUGGCCCGAGCUGCGGACCCGUCCCCGGCAGCUCCUGCUCUACCUGUCCCUGGCCGACCUCCUGUCGGCCGUAUCCUACUUCUACGGGGUGCUGCAGGACUUCGACUCGACCUCGUGGGACUGCGUGCUGCAGGGCGCCCUGUCCACCUUCUCCAACACCAGCUCCUUCUUCUGGACCAUGGCCAUUGCCUUCUACCUGUACAUCACCAUUGUGAGGGGCGCGCCAACGGGCACUGGCCUGCUCUGCUUCUUCCACGGGAUGAGCUGGGGAGUCCCACUUGUCAUCACAGUGGCUGCUGUCGCUUUGAAGAAGAUUGGCUAUGAUGCGUCAAACGUCUCUGUGGGCUGGUGCUGGGUCGACCUGGAAGCGGCGGAUCAGGUCCUGUGGAUGCUGUUAACAGGGAAAUUGUGGGAGCUGCUGGCGUAUGUGAUCCUACCUGUCCUUUACAUCCUCAUCAAAAAGCACAUCAAUAGAGCGCGUGCGGCACUCUCUGAAUAUCGCCCCAUACUAGCCAGGGCUCCGGCCUUUCAGCCCAGGACUUCCAUAGCAGAUAAGAAAUUGAUCCUCAUCCCGCUCAUCUUCAUCUUCCUCCGCAUCUGGAGCACUAUCCGAUUCAUCCUGACCCUCUGCAGCUCCCCUGCCGUGCAAAAUUCAGUCCUGGUGGUCCUGCACGGAAUUGGGAACACAUUCCAGGGAGGUGCCAACUGCAUCAUGUUUGUCCUCUGCACUCGUGUCAUCCGGACCCGGCUGCUCUCUUCCCUUUGCUGUGGUCGCUACGGAGGUUUGCAUCAGCCUUCACAGAGCCUAGAGGGGGGUUACCAGCACGCCGAACCCCCCAAGAACACGGAGGCUGAACAGACGAAGGCCGAAUUCGCAAGCACCUGAGCCUUGAAUCUCCACGGCUGAGUGUGAGAUUCCGUCAUUCUUGGUAAAGGUUUAACUGUAACUGAAGUACCACCAAGUGCCUGUAGAGGGAGAUAGAGGCCUGAGGAAAACGAACUCCCACUUGAACAAUUACCGUGCAGGCAACGACUGACAGGGUCUUUAUGGAAAUCUCCCUCCAUGGAAUUCAGAUACCAGCUGCCUUAGCGCUUCUUUCAAGAUUUCCAGGAAUGUGCUACCGGGUCACACCCCAACUUCCAGUCUCAUCCCCAUGCCCCUCCCACAGAAGUUUACAAAUUAUUCCUGGGUUCUGAUUUUCUGUUUUACUAAGAGGAUUUCUCACCGUGCGGCUGGGGUGGGGGGAAAUCCCCAACGUUCUGAAGACUCCAGGAGCUUCUGAAUGGAAGCGCCUUGGAUGUGGGAUCGAUUUAUCGUCUGUUUCAUGAGGCCUUCAAGGGGGCUCCUGCUCUUCUAUGCUUCAGAUGGUGGAUGGGGGCCGAUAACUUGGCAAAGUCUUUCUUUGUUCUCCUUGGGGUGGGGAUGUGUCUUGGAUGUUUUGCUCCUUUUCCAGGGCCACAGCAGCUCGUCUUCCUUCUGGAUUUCGGAUGUGAAUGAGCUUGGGUGGCCGCUUGACGGAAUCAUGGCUCUGUGGACAGUUUGGUACUGAGGGUAGGUAAGUGGGUGAGCAUAUCAACCCAGCCAUCCAGCGAGAGCAGCCCCUGAAGGGGACAGCAUGGACAUAUGGACACAUUUUGCUGCACAAAUCCUAAAUCCAGGUUUUCCUUCUUCCAAGGCACAGUCUGUUUUUAUUAAUGCGCCCCUUCUCCCACCCGUGGUUUUUAAAAUCACAGCUUGGGCUUUAGGAGAUGCCAUCCCUUUUAGAACACACCCUGUUUACAGCGCCUCAACUUUCCUUUCCUGAUGCACUUCUGAAACCCUUCAUCUUUUUAACAAAGUCCUCACCGGAUUCCUGUCUCUGUGUAUGGACAGUGGUCUCCUUCCGGUGCCUUUUUUUUUUUUUAAUGGAGAUGUUGUUAUUCAGUGUGUGAUCAAGGCACAGAUUGGUCUGCCAAUAUCUCUCCAGGCUGGGUGGGGGGAGAAGAGAAAUUCUGUGACAAUGUUUUUACAAGUUCCCAGUGUGUCUGUAAUUUAACAAAUGAUUGUCUAAGGCAUGUCCAGGGUGACUGAGCACAAAUCAUCCAUGCCAAUUGUAGAUGUUGCUCUUCCCGAUUGUUUUUACUCGGAUAUUGACCUCUCACCAGCAUGGGGUGCAACCUGCUGAGCUGUUUGUGUGUGUGUGGGUUGGUUGAUUUCACUUGGAAUGUCCACCACCUUCUUGGUAUAAAAUUAAAGGACUGUGUGAAAUGA
Molecule: RNA transcript, 2884 nt
Organism: Chrysemys picta bellii (western painted turtle)
Lineage: Eukaryota; Metazoa; Chordata; Testudines; Emydidae
Gene: GPR157
Gene name: G protein-coupled receptor 157
Source: RefSeq, a predicted model, not a curated record